Molecule: ribosomal RNA, 474 nt
Filed under: uncultured bacterium
Lineage: Bacteria
Description: SSU rRNA
Rfam family: Bacterial small subunit ribosomal RNA
Source: RNAcentral
AGGACGAACGCUGGCGGCGUGCUUAACACAUGCAAGUCGAGCGGAAAGGCCCUUCGGGGUACUCGAGCGGCGAACGGGUGAGUAACACGUGAGUAAUCUGCCCCUAGCUCUGGGAUAGCUCCGGGAAACCGGAAUUAAUACCGGAUAUGACCUAGGCCGACAUCGGCCGUGGUGGAAAGUUUUUCGGCUAGGGAUGGACUCGCGGCCUAUCAGCUAGUUGGUGGGGUAAUGGCCUACCAAGGCGACGACGGGUAGCCGGCCUGAGAGGGCGACCGGCCACACUGGGACUGAGACACGGCCCAGACUCCUACGGGAGGCAGCAGUGGGGAAUCUUGCGCAAUGGGCGAAAGCCUGACGCAGCGACGCCGCGUGGGGGAUGAAGGCCCUCGGGUUGUAAACCCCUUUCAGCAGGGACGAAGCGAAAGUGACGGUACCUGCAGAAGAAGCGCCGGCUAACUACGCGCCAGCAGCCGC